GCUUUUGGUUCAGUAAUAGAAUGCCCGCCUGCCACGCGGGCGCCCUGGUUAAAUCCCAGCCGAUGCA
Cordylochernes scorpioides is the source of this 67-nucleotide non-coding RNA. NCBI's taxonomy places the organism in Eukaryota, Metazoa, Arthropoda, Arachnida, Pseudoscorpiones, Chernetidae. The record is from the annotation of a GenBank genome assembly.